UAGGGANUCUUCGGCAAUGGACGGAAGUCUGACCGAGCAACGCCGCGUGAGUGAAGAAGGUUUUCGGAUCGUAAAGCUCUGUUGUAAGAGAAGAACGAGUGUGAGAGUGGAAAGUUCACACUGUGACGGUAUCUUACCAGAAAGGGACGGCUAACUACGUGCCAGCAGCCGCGGUAAUACGUAGGUCCCGAGCGUUGUCCGGAUUUAUUGGGCGUAAAGCGAGCGCAGGCGGUUAGAUAAGUCUGAAGUUAAAGGCUGUGGCUUAACCAUAGUACGCUUUGGAAACUGUUUAACUUGAGUGCAAGAGGGGAGAGUGGAAUUCCAUGUGUAGCGGUGAAAUGCGUAGAUAUAUGGAGGAACACCGGUGGCGAAAGCGGCUCUCUGGCUUGUAACUGACGCUGAGGCUCGAAAGCGUGGGGAGCAAACAGGAUUAGAUACCCUGGUAGUCCACGCCGUAAACGAUGAGUGCUAGGUGUUAGACCCUUUCCGGGGUUUAGUGCCGCAGCUAACGCAUUAAGCACUCCGCCUGGGGAGUACGACCGCAAGGUUG
Molecule: ribosomal RNA, 550 nt
Filed under: uncultured bacterium
Lineage: Bacteria
Description: bacterial SSU rRNA
Rfam family: Bacterial small subunit ribosomal RNA
Source: RNAcentral